CGGUUGGUGAACCAGCGGAGGGAUCAUUACUGAGUUACCGCUCUAUAACCCUUUGUGAACGUACCUAACCGUUGCUUCGGCGGGCAGGGGAAGCCUCUCGCGGGCCUCCCCUCCCGGCGCCGGCCCCCACCACGGGGACGGGGCGCCCGCCGGAGGAAACCAAACUCUAUUUACACGACGUCUCUUCUGAGUGGCACAAGCAAAUAAUUAAAACUUUUAACAACGGAUCUCUUGGUUCUGGCAUCGAUGAAGAACGCAGCGAAAUGCGAUAAGUAAUGUGAAUUGCAGAAUUCAGUGAAUCAUCGAAUCUUUGAACGCACAUUGCGCUCGCCAGCAUUCUGGCGAGCAUGCCUGUUCGAGCGUCAUUUCAACCCUCAAGCACCGCUUGGUUUUGGGGCCCCACGGCACACGUGGGCCCUUAAAGGUAGUGGCGGACCCUCCCGGAGCCUCCUUUGCGUAGUAACUAACGUCUCGCACUGGGAUCCGGAGGGACUCUUGCCGUAAACCCCCCCAAUUUCUUUACAGGUUGACCUCGGAUCAGGUAGGAAUACCC
RNAcentral lists this ribosomal RNA (553 nucleotides) under Colletotrichum tamarilloi. Its description in RNAcentral is "eukaryotic LSU rRNA". The stretch from base 212 to 365 matches the Rfam family "5.8S ribosomal RNA". The record is from RNAcentral. Lineage: Eukaryota; Fungi; Ascomycota; Sordariomycetes; Glomerellales; Glomerellaceae.